RNAcentral lists this ribosomal RNA (479 nucleotides) under uncultured bacterium. RNAcentral describes it as "partial 16S ribosomal RNA". It matches the Rfam family "Bacterial small subunit ribosomal RNA", at positions 28 to 507 of the family's 1533-position model. The record is from RNAcentral.
GAUGAACGCUGGCGGCGUGCUUAACACAUGCGAGUCGAGCGAGAAGUUUUGAACAGAUUCUUCGGAUGAAAUUUAAAAUGGAAAGCGGCGGACGGGUGAGUAACGCGUAGGCAACCUGCCCCAUACAAAGGGAUAGCAUUUGGAAACGAAUAUUAAUACCUUAUGAAACUUAACUAGUGCAUGCUAGGUAGGUCAAAGAUUUAUCGGUAUGGGAUGGGCCUGCGUCUGAUUAGCUAGUUGGGGAGGUAACGGCUCACCAAGGCGACGAUCAGUAGCCGACCUGGGAGGGUGAACGGCCACAUUGGAACUGAGACACGGUCCAAACUCCUACGGGAGGCAGCAGUGGGGAAUAUUGCACAAUGGGGGAAACCCUGAUGCAGCAACGCCGCGUGAACGAUGAAGGCCUUUGGGUCGUAAAGUUCUGUUCUAGGUGAUGAAAACUGACAGUAACCUAGGAGAAAGCCCCGGCUAACUCCGUG